CAGCCGCCACGGGAAUACGUAGGUGGCAAGCGUUGUCCGGAAUUAUUGGGCGUAAAGCGCGCGCAGGCGGAUAGGUCAGUCUGUCUUAAAAGUUCGGGGCUUAACCCCGUGAUGGGAUGGAAACUGCCAAUCUAGAGUAUCGGAGAGGAAAGUGGAAUUCCUAGUGUAGCGGUGAAAUGCGUAGAUAUUAGGAAGAACACCAGUGGCGAAGGCGACUUUCUGGACGAAAACUGACGCUGAGGCGCGAAAGCCAGGGGAGCGAACGGGAUUAGAUACCCGCGUAGUCCCUGUCUCUUAUACC
RNAcentral lists this ribosomal RNA (301 nucleotides) under uncultured bacterium. RNAcentral's name for it is "partial 16S ribosomal RNA". It matches the Rfam family "Bacterial small subunit ribosomal RNA", at positions 509 to 808 of the family's 1533-position model. The record is from RNAcentral.